RNAcentral lists this ribosomal RNA (266 nucleotides) under uncultured bacterium. Its description in RNAcentral is "partial 16S ribosomal RNA". It matches the Rfam family "Bacterial small subunit ribosomal RNA", at positions 524 to 789 of the family's 1533-position model. The record is from RNAcentral.
UACGAAGGGAGCUAGCGUUGUUCGGAAUCACUGGGCGUAAAGCGCACGUAGGCGGAUGUGUCAGUCAGGGGUGAAAUCCCGGAGCUCAACUUCGGAACUGCCUUUGAUACAGCACGUCUUGAGUCCGAUAGAGGUGGGUGGAAUUCCUAGUGUAGAGGUGAAAUUCGUAGAUAUUAGGAAGAACACCGGUGGCGAAGGCGGCCCACUGGAUCGGUACUGACGCUGAGGUGCGAAAGCGUGGGGAGCAAACAGGAUUAGAAACCCUA